UGUAUAAUAGCUCAGUGGUAGAGUACUUGCCUGGCAUGCAUGAGGUCCUUUGUUCAA
RNAcentral lists this transfer RNA (57 nucleotides) under Marmota marmota marmota (Alpine marmot). It matches the Rfam family "tRNA", at positions 1 to 56 of the family's 71-position model. From Rfam's summary of the family: Transfer RNA (tRNA) molecules are approximately 80 nucleotides in length. Their secondary structure includes four short double-helical elements and three loops (D, anti-codon, and T loops). RNAcentral also lists the same sequence under 4 other names. Lineage: Eukaryota; Metazoa; Chordata; Mammalia; Rodentia; Sciuridae. The record is from Rfam by way of RNAcentral.